RNAcentral lists this ribosomal RNA (449 nucleotides) under uncultured bacterium. RNAcentral describes it as "partial 16S ribosomal RNA". It matches the Rfam family "Bacterial small subunit ribosomal RNA", at positions 29 to 523 of the family's 1533-position model. The record is from RNAcentral.
AAUGAACGCUGGCGGCAGGCCUAACACAUGCAAGUCGAACGGAUCCUUCGGGAUUAGUGGCGGACGGGUGAGUAACGCGUGGGAACAUACCCAAAGGUACGGAAUAGCCUCGGGAAACAGGGAGUAAUACCGUAUGUGCUCGAAAGAGGAAAGAUUGAUCGCCUUUGGAUUCGCCCGCGUUGGAUUAGGUAGGUGGUGGGGUAAUGGCCUACCAAGCCGUGGAUCCAUAGCUGGUUUCAGAGGAUGAUCAGCCACACUGGGACUGGGACACGGCCCAGACUCCUACGGGAUGCAGCAGUGGGUAAUCUUAGAAAACGGGGUAAACCCUGAUCUAGCCAGGCCGCGUGAUCGAUGAAGGCCUUAGGGUUGUAAAGAUCUUUCAGGUGGGAAGAUAAUGACUGUACCACCAGAAGAAGCCCCGGCUAACUCCGUGCCAGCCGCCGCCGUAA